This 451-nucleotide ribosomal RNA is filed under the name uncultured archaeon. RNAcentral describes it as "bacterial SSU rRNA". It matches the Rfam family "Archaeal small subunit ribosomal RNA", at positions 31 to 464 of the family's 1478-position model. The record is from RNAcentral.
GACUGUAUCGGAUGGGAUUAGCCAUGUAGUGUGGCCUNCCUGGCUACAGGGACGCAGCUACGCUCAGUACACGUAUCAACUGCCCUGAGACCGAACAAACCGGGNAACUGGGCCUAUCCGCGAUAGAUGACCGCAUCUGGAAGGAGUGUUCGUCGAAAGGCGNNCACGGGUAUGCUCUGUGCGCACCGCUUCAGGAUGGGACUGCGGCCGAUCAGGCUGUUGGCGGGGUAAUGGCCCACCAAACCUGUAACCGGUACGGGCUUUGAGAGAAGGAGCCCGGAGAUGGACACUGAGACAAGGGUCCAGGCCCUACGGGGCGCAUCAGGCGCGAAAACUUCGCAAUGCGCGAAAGCGUGACGAGGCUAGUCCGAGUGCUCCCUGCUAAAGGGAGCUUUUCUCGNGCUGUAAAUAGUNCCGGGGAAUAAGGGGAGGGCAAGUCUGGUGUCACCCU